This 964-nucleotide ribosomal RNA is filed under the name Escherichia coli. RNAcentral describes it as "partial 23S ribosomal RNA". It matches the Rfam family "Bacterial large subunit ribosomal RNA", at positions 233 to 1238 of the family's 2925-position model. The record is from RNAcentral. Lineage: Bacteria; Pseudomonadati; Pseudomonadota; Gammaproteobacteria; Enterobacterales; Enterobacteriaceae.
GAUUCCCCCAGUAGCGGCGAGCGAACGGGGAGGAGCCCAGAGCCUGAAUCAGUGUGUGUGUUAGUGGAAGCGUCUGGAAAGGCGCGCGAUACAGGGUGACAGCCCCGUACACAAAAAUGCACAUAUUGUGAGCUCGAUGAGUAGGGCGGGACACGUGGUAUCCUGUCUGAAUAUGGGGGGACCAUCCUCCAAGGCUAAAUACUCCUGACUGACCGAUAGUGAACCAGUACCGUGAGGGAAAGGCGAAAAGAACCCCGGCGAGGGGAGUGAAAAAGAACCUGAAACCGUGUACGUACAAGCAGUGGGAGCCUCUUAAUGGGGUGACUGCGUACCUUUUGUAUAAUGGGUCAGCGACUUAUAUUCUGUAGCAAGGUUAACCGAAUAGGGGAGCCGAAGGGAAACCGAGUCUUAACUGGGCGUUAAGUUGCAGGGUAUAGACCCGAAACCCGGUGAUCUAGCCAUGGGCAGGUUGAAGGUUGGGUAACACUAACUGGAGGACCGAACCGACUAAUGUUGAAAAAUUAGCGGAUGACUUGUGGCUGGGGGUGAAAGGCCAAUCAAACCGGGAGAUAGCUGGUUCUCCCCGAAAGCUAUUUAGGUAGCGCCUCGUGAAUUCAUCUCCGGGGGUAGAGCACUGUUUCGGCAAGGGGGUCAUCCCGACUUACCAACCCGAUGCAAACUGCGAAUACCGGAGAAUGUUAUCACGGGAGACACACGGCGGGUGCUAACGUCCGUCGUGAAGAGGGAAACAACCCAGACCGCCAGCUAAGGUCCCAAAGUCAUGGUUAAGUGGGAAACGAUGUGGGAAGGCCCAGACAGCCAGGAUGUUGGCUUAGAAGCAGCCAUCAUUUAAAGAAAGCGUAAUAGCUCACUGGUCGAGUCGGCCUGCGCGGAAGAUGUAACGGGGCUAAACCAUGCACCGAAGCUGCGGCAGCGACACUAUGUGUUGUUGGGUAGGGGAGCG